Molecule: ribosomal RNA, 531 nt
Filed under: Pachliopta aristolochiae
Lineage: Eukaryota; Metazoa; Arthropoda; Insecta; Lepidoptera; Papilionidae
Description: partial 16S ribosomal RNA
Rfam family: Bacterial large subunit ribosomal RNA
Source: RNAcentral
AAAAACAUGUCUUUUUGUAAUAAUUUAAAGUCUAAUCUGCCCACUGAUAUUAUUAAAGGGCUGCAGUAUUUUGACUGUACAAAGGUAGCAUAAUCAUUUGUCUCUUAAUUGGUGACUUGUAUGAAAGAUUGAAUGAAAUAUGAACUGUCUCAAUUUAAUUUAUAAAAUUUAAUUUUUUAGUCAAAAAGCUAAAAUAAAUUUAAAAGACGAGAAGACCCUAUAGAGUUUUAUAAUUAUAUUAAUUAUAAUAAAAUAUAAAUUUUUUAAUUAAAAUUAAUAUAAUUAUUUUGUUGGGGUGACAAAAAAAUUAAAUUAACUUUUUUUAAAAAAUUUACAUUAAUUUAUGAUUUUAUGAUCCAUUUUUAGUGAUUAAAAGAAAAAAUUACCUUAGGGAUAACAGCGUAAUUUUUUUUUUUAGAUCAAAUAAAAAAAAAAGUUUGCGACCUCGAUGUUGGAUUAAGAUAAAAUUUAAAUGCAAAAGUUUAAAAUUUUUGAUCUGUUCGAUCAUUAAAAUCUUACAUGAUCUGAGUC